UGUGUGUGUGUGUGUGUGUGUGUGUGUGUGUGUGUGUGUGUGUGUGUGUGAGUGUGUGUGUGUGUGUGUGUGUGCGUAGGGGGGGAAUACGUGUGUAGCUUGUACUGUAUAUUAGGUUGCUGUGGAAGGGGAAACAUUGAAAGGUGACAAUCACAUUGGAGAAAUGGCAGAGUGAAAUGGCAGUCAGAAUUGACAUCUGAAUUGGCAGUGUGAAAUGGCAGUGUGAAAUUGCAGUGUGAAAUGGCAGUGUGAAAUUGUGUGCAGUGGUUCACAGUGUAAAGCGUAAAAGGAUAUUCACAUUGUAAAGUGUUAACUACUGAGCACCGGAGGGCAAUGAUGAGUGGUCAGAUCAUGCAGGGAGACAAAGCACUAAUAUCCUGUCUAAAAUGCCUUACAACAGUAGCCAUACUUCUUCAUCCUCAGCAUGUUUUCAUCACUUUAAGGCUGGUUUACAGUUGGUCUAUCGACAUGUUUGCAGACAGUCGCAGUGACUUCCCUGUGCUUCCCAGUGCCUUCCCUGUAGCUCAGUUGGUAGAGCAUGGUGUUUGCAACACCAGGGUUGUGGGUUCGAUUCCCACGGGGGGCCAGCACAGAAAAAAAAAAAAAUGUAUGAAAUGUAUGCAUUCACUACUGUAAGUCGCUCUGGAUAAGAGCGUCUGCUAAAUGACUAAAAUGUUUAAAAAAAAAUGUAAAAAUGUGACGUCAUGAACAUUCUAUUGUCAUCCGACAUCAAAUUUGUCGUUGUCGUUAUGAAAAAUAAUAAACUCAAAAACGACAGGCUGCAUGACACCACAGCCCGAUGCUCCAAAAAGCGUAGCUGCUGUAUUUAAACACUUAUCAAUCAAUCAAAUGUAUUUAUAAAGCCUUUUUUACAUCAGCCGAUGUCACAAAGUGCUGUACAGAAACCCAGCCUAAAACCCCAAACAGCAAGCAGUGAGAUGUAGAAGCACUCAUCCAUUUAGUAUACAUUAAUCUGACAAGCCAGGCAAUUAAACGCUUCUAAACAAUGUUUUGGUUAGUUUCUAUCUUAUUUAAAUAAUGACCAGAUCAUAGCUGACAAUGUCUUGACUACAGCACAUUUUUUAUUCAUUAUUACAGGAAAAUAAACUCAACAAGAUCAUUAUUUACAAGGUAAUGGCGAGCUAAUUACAGAAAAGAACUUAACGUUUUGAGCGUGACGAAAUAAAAGCAGGGCAUUCUACCGGAGAAUUGUUGAACUUGUGCACUGUUUCGUUGCUGUCUCAGCGAGGUAAACAUGUCAACAGACGCUGCGACAAGGUCAAAGUUGAACAUGCUUCAUCUGUCCCUGAAAAGGGAACCGACAGUCUACAGGCAUUCCACCGGAGUAUAAAUGAAUGACCAGCGACACCUGUCACAUUCUAAUUGUCUACAGACAUGUCUUAAGACCAAGUAUAAACCAGCCUUUACAAUUCAUAGUAGUUUGGGAUUAAUAAACACAUGAUGCACACAUGACGAACCGUAACCCUGUUUAGUGGUGGACUUCAGCACAUCGAAGUAAGAGUGGUGCACCUUCCUAUACCCAAAAUAAAUAUUGAUUUGAUACUGCUAUUGACUGGGGCUGUCUCAGUGUAAUAGGUGUGUGUACUGUAUAAACUCUGUCUGAUAGUCAUAUAUACAUGUAGAACACAUUUUUUUUUUAGUCAUUUCCGGUCACAACUUGUAGACUUGUUUACGUGCUGCUGUGCGUUUUGUUGCUAACCGUACUUUGCUACCUGCCAACUUUAUGGUGUUUACUUUUUAAUUACCGUUUAUAUUUUUAGUUUUACCCUCGCUCGAAUUUUUUCAUUCAACUUUUUCACUCCGGACGCUUUAUCUGGACGUGGUUCGCCACCAGCCGAAGCUAAGUAGUAAUAUUAACAUGAUGCCUCCUAAUUGCAGUCGCUGUACUCAUAAUAUACAGGAGAACGAUCGCCUUAUGGUGAGGAUAGCUGUGCUGCAAGCCCAGCUUCAGACGCUAUCGUUAGGCAAGGGUAAUUUAAGUGUAGGAAAGGAUGUAACAGCGUCUGUGCCACCAGUAAGUACAGAUAGUAGUAUAAAUCUCCUCGCACAGUCCCCGCAGACGGACAACCUUCUCAUGGCUUCCGGAAGGAAACACUGUAGGAAUGCUCAACCGGUGUUGCUCAUUCAGCCGACAGAAACUUUCAACCUGUUCUCCCCAUUAAGCAGUGAGUCGGAAUCAGAGGCCAAGCCUUCUCUGGUCUCUACUGCUCCCGUUACGGGAUCUGAGCCGCCGAAGCCUCCCACCAUUAGCUCUGACAAAUUGAAAACCCUAGUCAUUGGCGACUUCAUUACCCACAGUAUUAGACUUAAAACGAAUCAUCCAACGAUCAUACACUGUUUACCAGGGGGCAGGGCUACCAACGUUAAGGCUAAUCUGAAGAUAGUGCUGGCUAAAGCUAAAACUGGCGAGUGUAGAGAGUAUAGGGAUAUUGUUAUCCACGUCGGCACCAACGAUGUUAGGAUGAAACAGUCAGAGGUCACCAAGCGCAACAUAGCUUCAGCGUGUAAAUCAGCUAGAAUGAUGUGUCGGCAUUGAGUAAUUGUCUCUGGCCCCCUCCCAGUUAGGGGGAGUGAUGAGCUCUACAGCAGAGUCUCACAACUCAAUCGCUGGUUGAAAACUGUUUUCUGCCCCUCCCAAAAGAUAGAAUUUGAGGAUAAUUGGCCCUCUUUCUGGACUCACCACAAACAGGACCAAGCCUGGCCUGUUGAGGAGUGACGGACUCCAUCCUAGCUGGAGGGGUGCUCUCAUCUUAUCUAGACAGGGCUCUAACUCCCCUAGCUCCACAUUGAAAUAGGGUGCAGUCCAGGCAGCAGGCUGUUAGCCAGCCUGCCAGCUUAGUGGAGUCUGCCACUAGCACAAUCAGUGUAGUCAGCUCAGCUAUCCCCAUUGAGACCAUGUCUGUGCCUCGACCUAGGUUGGGCAAAACUAAACAUGGCGAUGUUUGCCUUAGCAAUCUCACUGGAAUAAAGACUACCUCCAUUCCUGCCAUUAUUGAAAGAGAU
Molecule: long non-coding RNA, 3024 nt
Filed under: Salmo salar (Atlantic salmon)
Lineage: Eukaryota; Metazoa; Chordata; Actinopteri; Salmoniformes; Salmonidae
Description: lncRNA (ENSSSAG00000084645.1)
Rfam family: UnaL2 LINE 3' element (bases 620-673)
Source: RNAcentral